CAAACGUUCGGGAAGAGCGGUGCUGGCGGCCGCAAUGGUAAUUGGCAACCUCCGCCCGAGGCAAGCUCUAGUAAACCCCCGCAA
Molecule: non-coding RNA, 84 nt
Filed under: Pyramimonas obovata
Lineage: Eukaryota; Viridiplantae; Chlorophyta; Pyramimonadophyceae; Pyramimonadales; Pyramimonadaceae
Source: RNAcentral